UACGUAGGGGGCUAGCGUUGUCCGGAUUUACUGGGUGUAAAGGGCGCGUAGGCGGAUUAGUAAGUCGGUGGUUAAAGCGUGCGGCUUAACUGCAUUGAUGCCAUUGAUACUAUUAGUCUAGAGUUCAGUAGGGAGAGUUGGAAUUCCUGGUGUAGUGGUGAAAUACGCAGAUAUCAGGAAGAAUACCAGAGGCGAAGGCGAGCUCUUGGGCUGAUACUGACGCUGAGGCGCGAAAGUGUGGGGAU
RNAcentral lists this ribosomal RNA (245 nucleotides) under uncultured bacterium. Its description in RNAcentral is "partial 16S ribosomal RNA". It matches the Rfam family "Bacterial small subunit ribosomal RNA", at positions 524 to 768 of the family's 1533-position model. The record is from RNAcentral.